Dreissena polymorpha is the source of this 2669-nucleotide long non-coding RNA. RefSeq lists it as uncharacterized. The transcript is spliced from 13 exons. Lineage: Eukaryota; Metazoa; Mollusca; Bivalvia; Myida; Dreissenidae. The record is from RefSeq and is a predicted model, not a curated record.
CAAAAUUACAUGCAUGCAACCCAUUUAUGCCAUUUUUCUCUUUGUUUGUAGGCCUGACCGUUUGUCCUUGAGCCGUAGAUGGUCAACAAUCCGCUAGCUGUCUUGCUCUGACUGGUGCACUGGACAUGAUUUCAAUAGUCAGCCAGACCAUGAUUGAGCUUAAGGAUUGUGCUGCGGAUGCAGCCUGUGCAGUUCCGGGAGAAAGUCACUGUCUCGGGCAAUGCGGUCUGGUAUCAGGUCUGGAUGAUCCUUGCCUGACUGCGGGUUUGUGUACACCUCAAUCCGACUCUGUGUCCUGAACAGAGGCCGCAGUGGUGCAGCGCUUGUGGACGAUCCAUCAACAUCCUGAAAGGUCAACACUACACCAAGCUGGGAAAAUUGAUCCUGAUAGUCAUUCCCAGGCCUGACCGUUUGUCCUUGAGCCGUAGAUGGUCAACAAUCCGCUAGCUGUCUUGCUCUGACUGGUGCACUGGACAUGAUUUCAAUAGUCAGCCAGACCAUGAUUGAGCUUAAGGAUUGUGCUGCGGAUGCAGCCUGUGCAGUUCCGGGAGAAAGUCACUGUCUCGGGCAAUGCGGUCUGGUAUCAGGUCUGGAUGAUCCUUGCCUGACUGCGGGUUUGUGUACACCUCAAUCCGACUCUGUGUCCUGAACAGAGGCCGCAGUGGUGCAGCGCUUGUGGACGAUCCAUCAACAUCCUGAAAGGUCAACACUACACCAAGCUGGGAAAAUUGAUCCUGAUAGUCAUUCCCAGGCCUGACCGUUUGUCCUUGAGCCGUAGAUGGUCAACAAUCCGCUAGCUGUCUUGCUCUGACUGGUGCACUGGACAUGAUUUCAAUAGUCAGCCAGACCAUGAUUGAGCUUAAGGAUUGUGCUGCGGAUGCAGCCUGUGCAGUUCCGGGAGAAAGUCACUGUCUCGGGCAAUGCGGUCUGGUAUCAGGUCUGGAUGAUCCUUGCCUGACUGCGGGUUUGUGUACACCUCAAUCCGACUCUGUGUCCUGAACAGAGGCCGCAGUGGUGCAGCGCUUGUGGACGAUCCAUCAACAUCCUGAAAGGUCAACACUACACCAAGCUGGGAAAAUUGAUCCUGAUAGUCAUCCCAGGCCUGACCGUUUGUCCUUGAGCCGUAGAUGGUCAACAAUCCGCUAGCUGUCUUGCUCUGACUGGUGCACUGGACAUGAUUUCAAUAGUCAGCCAGACCAUGAUUGAGCUUAAGGGUUGUGCUGCGGAUGCAGCCUGUGCAGUUCCGGGAGAAAGUCACUGUCUCGGGCAAUGCGGUCUGGUAUCAGGUCUGGAUGAUCCUUGCCUGACUGCGGGUUUGUGUACACCUCAAUCCGACUCUGUGUCCUGAACAGAGGCCGCAGUGGUGCAGCGCUUGUGGACGAUCCAUCAACAUCCUGAAAGGUCAACACUACACCAAGCUGGGAAAAUUGAUCCUGAUAGUCACCCCAGAGGUGAGCGAUACGAUUCUGAACCCCAAAAGCUACUCAGAUUCCAUCUACACGAAGUACGAGCCAUUUAUUCCCGACUUCUCCCUAAAGGCAGUUGACAACAUCCUCUUCCUGCGCAUCAAGCGCACGCACUACAUCGUGGCUAGGCGGGCCACGCUCAUGGGGCGGCAUGAACAGGACAGCACGAAAGAAGACGAGACCUUCACCGUCGAGUGGAAACAUGCCACCAGGAUAAACUGGAACCACACCAAUGUGGGUGCGAGUAUCGAACAUUCCGAGCCUAUUUUCUUUGUUGCCAGCAUGGGCGACCAGCACAGUCCGCCGCCGUCAUAUACUAGUAACUGGACCCCGUUGCCCAGAACGACGAAUAUUACUGGAACGCUGACAAGAACAGAUUCAAAAGACUCCUUUAGUGAGGUUUCCCAACUCUGACAAGCCGGAACGGGAUUUAGAUUUGGUGUGCAUGCAGAUAAGCUUUCAAGUGAGUGAAUGAAAAUGUUCAUGAUCAUGGGCUUUCAUGGCGAUGGUGUAAAUACAUUUUUAUAACACAAUUUUGUAAAUAUUACCGAACAUUUACAUACAUGCACCUAACUUAAGGUCAAGUAUAAAUCAAUAUAUAGGUAAUAUAUUUAAAAUAAUGUUCAGUUAUUACUAUUUGUUUCAAAACAAAUUACUUCCAUGUCUAUUAUUCUGAAUAAAUAUUGAAAAAGAAUCCCAAAUUAUAGUUCAUUGUAUUUAAACUUGUAUACUUUUUUAUUUUCAUCAUGUAUUUUUGCGGUAUUGUUCUGUUUUAUCAAACCUUUAACUAUUUAGUGUUGUUAAUUUUACAUGAAAAUAUAUACUGUGCUAUGUUUGCUUGUGCAUAAAGACAUUGUAAUUUAUUUUUGAUGUACAAUCUUAAUAAGGUAUGUAUACAUUAAAAAGUUACAAAAACAAAAGUUAAACAUUACAUCGCUUACUCUGCGUUGGACGUUCUUGAUCGCAUUAAUUGUUUGACUGCUUUGUGCUAUAUUUUACGUUUGCGCAUUUGGUUUAUUAUUUAUGUUAUGCAUUCCGCUUGUAUAGGCUAGUCAACAUUUUACUAUAAGUCUUAAUUUUUGUGUUGGUGCUUUUAAAUCGAAAUUAUUACAAGCAUCUAAAAAUGAACGUUUUCCCUUAUUUUAAUUUAUUUUCCUUAAAAUAUAUAAUCACUCUUUAUUUUCAAUAUAAUUAAAAAAAACA